ACACCAGACUCCUACGGGAGGCAGCAGUGGGGAAUAUUGCACAAUGGGCGCAAGCCUGAUGCAGCCAUGCCGCGUGUAUGAAGAAGGCCUUCGGGUUGUAAAGUACUUUCAGCGGGGAGGAAGGUGUUGAGGUUAAUAACCUUAGCAAUUGACGUUACCCGCAGAAGAAGCACCGGCUAACUCCGUGCCAGCAGCCGCGGUAAUACGGAGGGUGCAAGCGUUAAUCGGAAUUACUGGGCGUAAAGCGCACGCAGGCGGUCUGUCAAGUCGGAUGUGAAAUCCCCGGGCUCAACCUGGGAACUGCAUUCGAAACUGGCAGGCUGGAGUCUUGUAGAGGGGGGUAGAAUUCCAGGUGUAGCGGUGAAAUGCGUAGAGAUCUGGAGGAAUACCGGUGGCGAAGGCGGCCCCCUGGACAAAGACUGACGCUCAGGUGCGAAAGCGUGGGGAGCAAACAGGAUUAGAUACCCCGGUAGCU
RNAcentral lists this ribosomal RNA (475 nucleotides) under uncultured bacterium. RNAcentral's name for it is "bacterial SSU rRNA". It matches the Rfam family "Bacterial small subunit ribosomal RNA", at positions 328 to 795 of the family's 1533-position model. The record is from RNAcentral.